GAGACGGGGUCGGCGUCGGCGACGCGCCGUUCCACGGUCGCCAUCCCUCGUCGUCCGUCGCGGGCUCGUGCCGUGCCGCUAUCCAUUCUCCGAGUGGGCUAUGUACCUCAUUGUCGACGCGCCAUGGACGCCAAGCUGCUUCUAUAGGAAGCCCAAGAUUGUCCAGCACAUAUUGUGUUGAAAUGAAUGAGCACACUGCAUCCAUAUCACCACUGGUACACAAAGGCAUAGUUUAAGUCAUGUUAUGAUGUAGCGCACCGAGCAAGGUAUUUUGACACACAUAAAUCUGAACAUAUGUACCUGUACAGCCAUAUUCUCGUGCCACUUGAAAUGAGUUUCUUGAUUGAUGGCAGCAUUGUCUCUGGUGAAUCUUUCCAAUUAUCAAAUAUCUGCUGACUGCUUGAAGGAAACAUAUAAAUUAAUCAUAUACAUGUUGUACUGUUGACUUCCCCCUAGUGCCAAUUGCUAAUCUAGUAAGAGAUUUACUUGAGGCUGAACGAAUUCUCAACAGUUAAACUUGUUUAUACAUGACUGAGUAUGCAGCAUGUGAUAGCCAUAUUGACACUCUAUAGAAACAAUCAAGGAUGAGUCGGGAUACAUGCAUCUUGGUGCAUACUCAAUCUUAUAGAUAUGCAGCAUGUGACCUAAGCCCCUAGGGGCACCUUUGGUUAAAUAUCUUAUGGUUUCAAAUAGUUGACUGCUGGACAGGCAGAAUAUAGGUUUGAGAAUACAGGAUUUGUGGCUUUGUGUUGUAAGGGUUAUUGGCCUCUUUUCUUUUUAAUACAAACUACAAAGAUACACAGCCGUCUACCCUCCAGUGUGUUUGAGAAAACAAAAGAAUAUUAGCUUGAGUGGCAUUGCGCCUUUUUUAGUGUUGACUUAAAUAUACCUUUUUGCAUACAGCAUGUUGUGCUAAUGGAAUAAUUCUUGGCAAUCGUGGUUCACAUACUCUUUGAUGGUUAACUGGAAGAGGUUGUUGCUACCUUUUUAGAAUUAAUGUUAUUGAGAAGUGAGUGAUGAAAAGAUAUAUAAGUAUUCUGUUCCUUCAGAUUAUAUAAGUAAUUGUUUGUACAUAAAGCACCUACCUUUUCAUAUGGCUUUAGGAAACCAACAGAUUGCUAAUAGGGUCACACAAGAGAUAUGGUCUGACGUUGCACAUAAAUUUGAGGGAAAUAUGAUAUUCAGAUAUUCAAUAUACAUACCUACAGUCCAUCCAUGGGUAGCCUAACCCUGUUGUGUUUGCAUGGAGUGCCCUUUGGACCUCAGGACGAUUUAGGUAAGAGGAGACGUAGUGGUUUGUGCAUGGAUCACCAAACACUAACUGAAAUAGUAAACAAAAAGUUCCAGUAUACCAAAAUUUCAUAUAGAAAUGGAAGUUAAAACAUCUGUCAAUCUGUGAAAUUUAUGUACGAUGUUGUAUACCGAGUCACUUGAUUUAGAAGGGUUUGAGGCAUCUUGGCAUAUUGGUGCAUAGAUGUCAUAGUCAUCAAUAUUUCCUUUUUCUUGGGUGGCUAAGUCCAUGGCAUUUUGGCAGUCUUCAGUGUAUGUCCCAUUAAAGCCGCACUUAUCCUUGACGGCUUUAUAAGCUUUUCCCGAAAUCAUAGCAUGCAUCCAAUAGUAGUCAUAUGAUGCUCUUAGAGUCAAAUUAUCAUCCAAGUCUGCAUUUCCAAUCUGAUGAAGUUUACAGUGUUACCAUUGAUGAGAAAUUUACCAAAUUACAAGUUUCAAUUUAGUUGACUGAAAACUCACCGCAACACCUUUAAGCUUGAUACUAGUUACAUUGGUGGCUCUAUUCUUAGAGAGAAUCAGAUUUGCAAGUUCUGGUAUAUAGUGACCUGCAUAGCUCUCACCAGUUAUGAAGAAAUCACGGUCCUGAUAUUCAGGAAAUUUCUCUAGCCAAGUAAUAAGAAAGGUAUAUGCAUCAUCUGUUGUUCUUUGGUCACCAGUGUUAUAGUAAUCUGAUGUAGUGUUUGAAUAUGAGUAUCCAACACCAGCUGGGAUCUCAAUGAACAACAUGUUGGCCACUGCAUUCAUGAAUGGAAAAUGGAAUAUCAGUUGACUCCAUUCUUUGAAAAUAUAGUUUACUUUAGUUGUCCUAAGCUUUAUUUUUUUACCAAAUUUAUAGAAAAAAUGUAUUGACAUUUAUAGUAUUAAAUUAGUUCCAUUAAAUUCUCUAUGAAAAUGUUUUGGUAGUGCAUUUAUUUGAACUUGUAGAUGUUAUUAUAUUUUUUCUAAAAACAUGAUCAAAGUUCGAACAAACUAUUAUUUGCAGCGGAGGAAGUAACUAUUAAUCCAGUAAAGAUUAAAGCGGAUUUUACUUCUGUUCCAUGCAUGCCUUUUCUUGUACAGUGUCUUGUUGUCACUAUGAACAGAGAAAGGUCCAAGUUCAACCAUGGCCCCAGAUCCAAAGGAUGAACAGCCAGGCCCUGCAGAUACAGACAUACAGAGUGGACUCACUCUUUUGGACUUAGAGUUGAAAAACGAAGUGAUGGGACAGGAAGAAUCAACUUUAGAAGGGAAUCCCACUUUCUAGCAGCGCACAUAUGCAAAAUACCUUCUCAGACCACAUAUUGUCAAAGAGAAGUGAACGAGGAAAAAAGAUAAACAACAAAAGAGUAGAGGCUUGUGAAGUUUCAAUCACUCAGGUGGCAACUUUAUACCGAGGCAUGCUGCUUUUGGGUUCAGAAGCAUCCCAGCAGAACGACACAUAGAUAUUGGAUUCAUCGAUGAGGCCCUUCUCACUGAUAGCUGCUUCUACUGCAGUUCUACCGAAUCUUGUGUAUGUUCCAUUAAAGCCUUAAUUUUCAUGGACUGUAUGAGUUUCUUUGGAGAUCAUAGCAUGUGUCCAGUAGUAAUCGAUGAUUGCUCUUGUGUUUGUGUCUCAUCCACGUUAAGGUUUUACAUACUAAACCAAUUAAGGUUUUACUGGUUAGGAGUGGGAGUCUUAAAAUUAAAGCCUGUUGUGCUCAACAAAGUAUCUACUUUGGGCAUUGUACUUAGGUCAGUUGGCCUAACAAUCUGUAGAAUUGUGCCCUGUUUAUAUAAGAAAAUAAUAGCCAGCUUCUUUUCCAUUUCAACAUGCUAAGGUUGAUACUAGGUAUGAUAGACCGUCAGUUUCCGUUGUCCUUUCUGUCCCCCUUUGGGCAAGCAACUACAAUCAACAAUGGAUUCUUCCAAUAAAUGGCUGUGGAUGUUUUGUAGUAUUUGCUAGGCCACUAGCAGGAAAGAAAAAAACUGCUGUAUGGCGCUGAUCUGUAGUAAGUUCCAACUGUUUUUCAAUUUUGAACCUUGAAACCAUGCUUGUAUCAAAUGGAUGGUCAGGGAAACUACUUUUUUGUGGAUUAAACAAGAUCAAAUAAAACGGCAGGCAAGCAGAGUAUAAAAGCACAUAUUAAAGUGUAUAAGUGGAUCGGCUACCUUCUCCCAUCAGUUUAAGCUUUUGAGUUGAACUGAUUAGUACAUUCCCUCUAACAUGGUAUCAAGGCUGGACGUCUCGAGUUUGAAUUCUGACAAAGGUUUUAUUUGUGUCUCCAUCCAUUUAUUUUCACGUUUGCGCUUUUCUCUCUAGCUGCACAUGAGUGAGGGUGUUGAAGUGUAUAAUUGGAUUAACUAUCUUCUUCCAUCAACUUAUGUUUUUGGGUUGGACUGGUUAGUACAUCCACUCUAACAGCACAAUUGUGUGCUGGAACUGGAAAGGCAAAAUAAACCACAUACCAAUUGGUUAGUAGGUUUCCUUACCUCCAUUGAGCCAAAUGACCAAUGAUUUGGUAGAUGGAUCUUCAGCAGCCUCUGCGAAGAAGUCAAAGAGGGCCUUUCCAGAUGUUGCAUCAACCAUGACAUAGCGGGCCGGCAUACUGAUCAAAGGCAGCCUUCUCGGGCUGCCCAGGAAGCUCGCUGAUAUUAUCAGCUUUCUUCAACCCAUCUUGCAGGAUAUAUUGGAUGAUCCAUGCUCCAACUUGUAAGUAUUCCAUUGUCUAGACGAUCAUGUUGCGUCUCCAUUCUUGACCUUGAAAACUCCUGCAAUCGGCAAGCCUGGUUAGUCAUCAGCAAGUGACAUUUGUGCGAGCACAAGGCAGAACAAUUGGAUGACAGAUGCAUCUCUUCUGAGCUUGGAGACCAAAGGAGAAAUUGAUACACUGGAAUACUGGAUCAUGAUAUGACUAACUAACAACCAUGAGGCAAUAGAUGAUACUUAAAUGCACAUAGGUACAAAUGUGUACUUGUGUAGUGUCUUGAUUGUUUAAAUCUUGUGUUCCAACAUUUAAUACCUUGCUCGAUUAGUUGGGUUCAUCCAGUGGUAAAACUAAGGUGUAUAUAGAUGUAUAAAAAUAUAAGUCGGUUUGCUUGCAAGCUGCCAACGUGUGUUAUCAGGCAAUACUUUGGUACUCUGAAGUUCAUUGUGAUGUGACUGUGCUGCAUCUGUUCCAUCCAAGCACAAAAGGGGGAACGGGGAUCUACACGGAGGACUGAUUUUGCAGCAUCUGUCAAGCAAGCAAGAAGUGGUCAUAGCGACCGAAAUAUCUGGAACCUGUGUUGUUAAUUGAAGAGCAUACAAGUCAUAAGAGCGAUUGGUUCGUAGCUGCAUUCUCGCUGGAAGAAGAUUGGAAUGCUGUCGCUGGAAGACGAGUAAAAGAUGAAAAAUCCAGCUAUGGCUAUAAGAUUGGAAUGCGCCCCAAAGUGACCACAAUAGAAAUAUUUCAAAAUCACCUCUGCAGUAAAGGAAAAGCAUCAGACUUAAAAUAUGGCAUCUAUGGUGCACAGUUUGUGUAGAAGAAGUUUGCAUAGCGGGCAGCAAGACAGCGGCGGCUCAGGGCGUGUUGUGUUCCGAAAAUGAAUAGAGGAUGCAAGCUUUGAGUUUUAAAUUUAGACCUCUGCAUCUAAUACGUAUUAAAGGUAUACAAUUUUUCUUC
Zea mays is the source of this 4910-nucleotide RNA transcript. RefSeq lists it as uncharacterized. The transcript is spliced from 6 exons. The record is from RefSeq and is marked validated. NCBI's taxonomy places the organism in Eukaryota, Viridiplantae, Streptophyta, Magnoliopsida, Poales, Poaceae.